Non-coding RNA from Bos taurus (domestic cattle), 73 nucleotides. Lineage: Eukaryota; Metazoa; Chordata; Mammalia; Artiodactyla; Bovidae. The record is from Rfam.
UCCCUGGUGGUCCAGUGGUUGGGACUCUGUGCUUCCAAUGCAGGGAGCUUGGAUUCGAUUCCCAGUUGGGGAA